UCGUGUGCUCCCCCCGUGACACUAUCUUUAAAUUUAGCACUGAAAGAAAAUGGAGCGCAAUGUCCAUUGUUAUUUUAAAGGUAAAUUUUUAUUUAAAUUCCUCAGAAUCUGCGGUAGGAGGCACACCUUACUAUGAUGAUGUCAGCACAGGUCCAACAGAGCAACAAGUCACACCAGAGAAUUAUGAUGAUGUAAUCACUGUCGGACUGACACAUCAUACUAGAGGUGACAUAUCAGAAAGCUAUGAUGAUGUUGUCAUCAUAAGACAGCUCUCCAAUAAUAAAGCAGAGGAAGAUCUGGAGGAGUAUGAUAAUGUAAGGAAUGUCAGUGAAGAUGUGCGAGACCUGUCUGCAGACUAUGAUUAUUUGAGGGAAGAGCCAGGAAAACAGGGAGGGACUGUUUAAGUCAGUGACUACACCCACUGCCUCACAUCUUAUUACAGCUUUUAGUUGCUCUGCACUUAAAAGUGUUGAAUGUACCAACACAAUUGCAUUUAGCCAAAGCUUGCUGUUGUUACAAUUACUAGACAUUAAUAGAAAACAUGGACAUCAAUUCAAUACAAAUAUAGAACAAAUUCAUAAAAAAAGACACCUGCUUUUAAAAAGCUGAAGGUGUCCAGGUCAAAAGCACCUGCAGAACUAAAUGACAAACAUGCUUUUUACUCUUUUGCUCUUCAGCUAUAUUCUUUUUGCAAGAAAAGAUUGUUGCACACUGCUAUGUAUUGUAAAUGUAUUUAUCUUAUGAGUGCAUUUAGCAAAAAAUAAAAAUUCU
RNAcentral lists this long non-coding RNA (771 nucleotides) under Sinocyclocheilus grahami. RNAcentral's name for it is "lncRNA (ENSSGRG00000005797.1)". Lineage: Eukaryota; Metazoa; Chordata; Actinopteri; Cypriniformes; Cyprinidae. The record is from RNAcentral.